RNAcentral lists this non-coding RNA (45 nucleotides) under Schistosoma mattheei. The record is from RNAcentral. Lineage: Eukaryota; Metazoa; Platyhelminthes; Trematoda; Strigeidida; Schistosomatidae.
AUCCACCUAACGAGUCCAGGAUAGGAAGAAACGCGCGUCCUGGAU